CGAGUUGGCAGGGCGACCGCGACGCCGCACCCUCCGCGGGUGUGGUUUCGAGGAAAGUCCGGACUCCACAGGGCAGGGUGGUUGUUAACGGCAACCCGGGGUGACCCGCGGGACAGUGCCACAGAAAACAGACCGCCCGGCGGCCACGGUCGCCGGGUAAGGGUGAAACGGUGGUGUAAGAGACCACCAGCGCCCCGGGUGACCGGGGCGGCUCGGUAAACCCCACCCGGAGCAAGGUCAAGAGGGAACGUUCGCGUUCCUGCGCAGGCGUUCGAGGGCGGCCCGCCCGAGCUUGCGGGUAGACCGCUUGAGCCUGCCGGCAACGGCAGGCCGAGAUGGAUGGUCGCCACCCACGGCACGCCCGUGGGCACAGAAUCCGGCUUAUAUGCCAACUCGUCCC
This 400-nucleotide RNase P RNA is filed under the name Saccharomonospora sp. CUA-673. RNAcentral's name for it is "Bacterial RNase P class A". It matches the Rfam family "Bacterial RNase P class A". From Rfam's summary of the family: Ribonuclease P (RNase P) is a ubiquitous endoribonuclease, found in archaea, bacteria and eukarya as well as chloroplasts and mitochondria. The record is from Rfam by way of RNAcentral. Lineage: Bacteria; Bacillati; Actinomycetota; Actinomycetes; Pseudonocardiales; Pseudonocardiaceae.